AGUGAACGCUGGCGGUAGGCCUGACACAUGCAAGUCGAACGGCAGCACAGUAAGAGCUUGCUCUUACGGGUGGCGAGUGGCGGACGGGUGAGGAAUACAUCGGAAUCUACUUUUUCGUGGGGGAUAACGUAGGGAAACUUACGCUAAUACCGCAUACGACCUACGGGUGAAAGCAGGGGAUCUUCGGACCUUGCGCGGUUGAAUGAGCCGAUGUCGGAUUAGCUAGUUGGCGGGGUAAAGGCCCACCAAGGCGACGAUCCGUAGCUGGUCUGAGAGGAUGAUCAGCCACACUGGAACUGAGACACGGUCCAGACUCCUACGGGAGGCAGCAGUGGGGAAUAUUGGACAAUGGGCGCAAGCCUGAUCCAGCCAUACCGCGUGGGUGAAGAAGGCCUUCGGGUUGUAAAGCCCUUUUGUUGGGAAAGAAAAGCAGCAGGUUAAUACCCCGCUGUUCUGACGGUACCCAAAGAAUAAGCACCGGCUAACUUCGUG
This 492-nucleotide ribosomal RNA is filed under the name uncultured bacterium. Its description in RNAcentral is "partial 16S ribosomal RNA". It matches the Rfam family "Bacterial small subunit ribosomal RNA", at positions 29 to 507 of the family's 1533-position model. The record is from RNAcentral.